RNAcentral lists this ribosomal RNA (467 nucleotides) under uncultured bacterium. RNAcentral describes it as "partial 16S ribosomal RNA". It matches the Rfam family "Bacterial small subunit ribosomal RNA", at positions 28 to 506 of the family's 1533-position model. The record is from RNAcentral.
GACGAACGCUGGCGGCGUGCUUAACACAUGCCAGUCGAACGGAAAGGCCCUGCUUUUGUGGGGUGCUCGAGUGGCGAACGGGUGAGUAACACGUGAGUAACCUGCCCUUGACUUUGGGAUAACUUCAGGAAACUGGGGCUAAUACCGGAUAGGAGCUCCUGCUGCAUGGUGGGGGUUGGAAAGUUUCGGCGGUUGGGGAUGGACUCGCGGCUUAUCAGCUUGUUGGUGGGGUAGUGGCUUACCAAGGCUUUGACGGGUAGCCGGCCUGAGAGGGUGACCGGCCACAUUGGGACUGAGAUACGGCCCAGACUCCUACGGGAGGCAGCAGUGGGGAAUAUUGCACAAUGGGCGGAAGCCGGAUGCAGCAACGCCGCGUGCGGGAUGACGGCCUUCGGGUGGGAAACCGCUUUCGCCUGUGACGAAGCGUGAGUGACGGUAAUGGGGAAAGAAGCACCGGCUAACUACGU